RNAcentral lists this ribosomal RNA (502 nucleotides) under uncultured bacterium. RNAcentral describes it as "partial 16S ribosomal RNA". It matches the Rfam family "Bacterial small subunit ribosomal RNA", at positions 29 to 523 of the family's 1533-position model. The record is from RNAcentral.
AUUGAACGCUGGCGGAAUGCUUUACACAUGCAAGUCGAACGGCAGCACGGGUGCUUGCACCUGGUGGCGAGUGGCGAACGGGUGAGUAAUACAUCGGAACGUACCCAGUCGUGGGGGAUAACGUAGCGAAAGUUACGCUAAUACCGCAUACGUCCUGAGGGAGAAAGCGGGGGACCGUAAGGCCUCGCUCGAUUGGAGCGGCCGAUGGCGGAUUAGCUAGUUGGUGGGGUAAAGGCCUACCAAGGCGACGAUCCGUAGCGGGUCUGAGAGGACGGCCCGCCACACUGGAACUGAGACACGGUCCAGACUCCUACGGGAGGCAGCAGUGGGGAAUUUUGGACAAUGGGCGAAAGCCUGACCCAGCCAUUCCGCGUGAGUGAAGAAGGCCUUCGGGUUGUAAAGCUCUUUCGGCAGGGAAGAAACGGCUUGGGAUAAUACCCCGGGCUAAUGACGGUACCUGAAGAAGAAGCACCGGCUAACUACGUGCCAGCAGCCGCCGCAG